UUCUGCCAUUGGUGUAGGUGUGAGCCAGUUCCAGAUGUUCGCUUUUAUCAGAGGUGAAAAUUUAGUUUUCACUAUUUUUUUAUAUGGGCUUCUCUUCUCUGACAACCUGUGAAGAUGAGAUUUGUAUCGUGCUGCAGAGGUUGAAAGGAUACAUGGUAUUAUGCCACCAGAAGGGACAAGAGAAAGACAGAUAGAAUUAUUGUUACUUUGUAGCACUUGCAGAAAUUGACAUGUAAUGCGGCAGAAAGAACCUGAUUGGAAGGCCGAGGGUACAUUCCAGUUGGGCUUCUUUAAUAGCUUGCUCAUAGGAUUCCAUGUAAUGAGGGAAACAAGAACAACACCUGUGGCUCAAAAAUUUGAAAGGAAAGGUUCUGAAUUGGCUAGAAAGGGGCUUAACAACCAACAGUGAUUCCCUAGUGGCAUGUAAUAUCCACUGGAGUUAUGAACUCUGUAGUGAACUGUCCAUCCAUGAGCACCAUCUCUUCCUUAUGUUUGGAAAGGUGAUAAUCUCUCACAACAGUAAGUGGGGAUUUUGAAUUUGUUUCUAACAUGAUAAAAAUUUGUUUAACUGAAUCAGUUGUUUUUCUAUCUUUUAUGUUCUUUAACAAGAGUUAUUUGCAUCAUGGGGCUGUCCAAUAAUUCUCAAAGCUGUUGAAGGUCCAAUGUUUUCUAUGGCUGUCCAAAACACACCGGCUAGAACUAAAACCGUGCAAUCCGUGAAUUUCUUCGGCACUUGGGUCGGGCCGAGUCGAUCGUGGGCUUGGCCAAUUCAAGGGAGUGAUUUGGUUAGGGUUGGUGCGGUCGGUUGACCGAACCGACCUAAGUAACUAUGUUAAAAAAU
Molecule: long non-coding RNA, 841 nt
Organism: Lotus japonicus
Lineage: Eukaryota; Viridiplantae; Streptophyta; Magnoliopsida; Fabales; Fabaceae
Exons: 4
Source: RefSeq, a predicted model, not a curated record